This 460-nucleotide unclassified non-coding RNA is filed under the name Hevea brasiliensis (rubber tree). The record is from RNAcentral. Lineage: Eukaryota; Viridiplantae; Streptophyta; Magnoliopsida; Malpighiales; Euphorbiaceae.
GUAUGAGAGCAUGCUGGGAAGUGUUAUCACUGCCAGGGAUCGCUGGCUAAAAUGCGGAGGUAUUAUUCUUCCAUCAAAUUGCAAUGGUAAAUUUCCUUCGUUCUUGAUCAGUUAUCUUAUGGAGUCUUGAUCACUGCAAUAGUAAUAUGGAGAUGCAUUUUUUGUUCUACUUCCAGUUCAUAUUGUGUAGAACAGUCUAAACCAAGUUUUUCAAUUAAGAUUAAUUUGUUACUAAGUUUAAUGUUUUGCCAAAGCCCGCCAGGAAUGAAUGCCAUUUUUAACAUGUUGAAUCUGGCACCAAUCUUGUACUAAAUUUUGAUUUUCUACAAUUACUGCCUACAGUUAUACAUGGGACCUAUCACACAUUUUGAGAGAUACAAUGGAAGCGUUGAUUUUUGGCACAAUAUUUAUGGAAUUGAUAGUGAGUAUCAUAUGUGAAAUUCUCUAAAACCAUGAAACU